CCCUCUUCUCAUCUCUUUCUGUGGUUAGUGUUGUGAUGUCCCGAAAUAAAUAAUCUUUGAAGUAAUUCUUGAUUCUUAGAUCAACUAGAGAACUCUCAGGAAACUUCCUCUCUUCCCACCAAAAAUAAUUAUAUAGUUAUCCUUGGGCGAUCUUAAAUCUUAAUUAGUACACUCACAUUCUCUGUGGAAAAUCGAUACUCUGGAAUACUCUCAGGUGAAAGCUACAUCGGUAUCCGUGCGCUUGCGGAUUUUUCUGUUUACGUUUAAAAUACCCAACAACAUUCAAACAAGAUCUCAUCUCUAGGUUAGGGUAAACUAUUAAGAUUUAAACUUACUCAUAUUACCUUCCACCAUGGGGCUUGCAACCAUCACUUAUGUCUUGAGUAGUUAAAAGAUAGAAUGGUCAAGUCAAGCGCCAUGUCUCUUGUUCUUUGAUCAACUAUAGCUCUGGAGUUUUUGCAAAUUUUCAAAAUAAAACUCUGAGAUUCCUUGGAUGACUCUCUCUAGUCUCGCUUUUGUGGUAUUUCUAGAUCCUUACCAAGGCUGUGAUGGUAUAUGCCUUCUCUCAAAGUAUGUAUUAUUUGUGGUAUAAGGCAUAGUGACAUUGCCUUCUCUCUCAUCCUUCUCUAAUGAGGCUUUGAUAUCUGGAGCUCAUAGGUGGGAGACAACGAAUACAUACUUACAAGACAUUUAUUGCAUAGUCAAACCAUGGAUCCAGAGAAACAAGUCAAUAAGUCAAAUCAAGAUGUGCAUGUGUGGCGAAUGAAUGGUAUAUGUUGAUGAUGGUGAUAAUGGUGAAAACAAUGGUGAAAGUCUAAUUCUACUUUUGCUCUUUUGAGGGGAUACAUACCUUUCUUGCACUUUGAAGCUUUUCGAGGAGAAUGAGAUGCUCUAUAUUUUCUUUUUAUUUUCUCUCAGGUGGGUAUCUUAUACCCCUAAUUCUACUGUCAGACACUUGUCCAUUUUUACCUCUCGUCUCACUUUUUCUUUUCUUCGAGGUUCCGGGCACUUGCCCCUUUUUAUUUAAUCGUAUUUUCUUUUUUCUCUCUCUCUUUUUUUAGAGCACUCACCCUCUUGGAAUAAUGUAGCAAGUGGUAGUAACCAGAAUAUCUCGAGCAUUUAUUUCACUGGGAAAAGCAGGAAUGGAAUAAUGUUUUUGGCUAUUCUCUCCCGGAUAGGAGUAGAAUAAUUUUGGGUGAAUCUGGAGAUGGAAAUGAGUGGAUGUAUGUGGAUGCGUAGUAGAAGCAGCAUGUAUGAGUGAACGUGCAAGUGAAUCUUGAUUUUUACUACAUGAAAAGCUCCUAAGGGUCUACAUAGCUUGACCACACUCAAUGCUCAAAAGCAGUAAAAAGUAAAUGUAUGGUUCAUAGUCUAAUAAGCAUGUAUAUGUGGCUGGGGUAGGAUUUUAAACUCUCAUCAUACAGGAACUCAUCAUGCAACAUUUUAAGGAUUUUCAAAGAUAAAAUUCUCCAGAAUUCUAGCAUCUCUAGGAACAGAUAAACAACAGCUCAACCUUCCCAUAUCAUAUCCGUUAACGACUUAGACUUUAUAUCAAGUACUCUUCCCACAAGUUCAGGUUUAGAGGAAAUCUUAAUUCAUAACAGUCAUGCCUAAACUUGAGAGAGAAUUCAAUUUUGAGAACUAGUCAUGGUAGAGCAACUAUUCAUCAUUUCCAUGUGAGAGCUUAUCAUGACGGUUCAUAGCAAACUUUAUUUAUUUAUUUAUUUAGCAAACUAAGCAAAGAUAUAUAUAUAUAAGCAUAAAUCUUUAUUUGGGUUUAUAUGAUUAUGCAUAUUUUUAUUAUUUUAGUAAAGUAUAAACGUGAAUAUAAACACUUAGCUAGAUAAAUGGGGGUGCUCUCCCUCAAGCUGGAUUUUGACGUAAUUUCUUCUAAUGUAGCUAGCAGGUGGCGGAGGUGUAUUUGAAUGUCGGCAGCACCAUGAUAGCGAUUAGGAUGUCCUCUGUCUGCUAGUCUUCCUUGAUCCUUGAAUUAUGUGAAGCUCAAAUAGACAACAAAGCUUCAUGGAACUAGUUAAGUGUUAGCAUAAAUAUCUAGCCUUUAUCAUGUUGAGCCACCUCAAUAAAUGUUACUCUCUUUGGUAGGAUCAUAAAUUUAUUUUUAUAUUUUCAUUUUUAUAGGACAGUAAUAUUUUUAUUUUUACGCCGCCAUAGUGAAUGUACAUAUGGGUUUUAUGCCACGAGCAUACUCACAUGGGGCUUACUAUUUUUAACAUUUUUAUUUUCUUUUCAAGAUAGCAUGAUUAACUAACAAGCAAUUAAGGAAAGUCAAUAAUUUAAGGGAAAAGGGAAUGCAGAAAGGAUAAAUAUGGAUAACUACUGAUUUUACCUUUCGGCGAGGGUUCAAUGUUUUAAGUCUUCUGAACAAGACUUCUCACCGUGUUCAUUCUUUAGGUGCGUCAUUUGAUUCAGGUGUGGACCUUGACAUCUGCACCUCUUGAUACGGUGUCACCCAUGUUCUUCGUUUGCCCAACAGUUCGAAGUGCGGCGUUGGCAGUAUCUUGCUCAGUGUGUUUUGUGCUCGUAGAUCCAGGUCCUUCACUUGGUAGAGUCUGGGAGUUGAAAAAUCCUCUAUGUUUCUCAAAAUGUGUCCUGCUUAUAGAGACAAAGCAGAGAUCAAAUGCAUGGGUCCAGUUGGUGGAAAACACCAACAGAACCAAAAGUAUAUUGAUUCUUCUCUAUCCUUUAGCAUAGGGAGCAAGAUAAAGUUGAUGGGUGAUAAGUUCAUGAGUGUAGCAUUUAAAACAUUUGUCAGAUCAGAUCGCUCAACCUUAUGGAAAGAUAAUCUAUCUAUGUAUAUGUCUUUUUCUUUAUAUCUUCUCAAAGAUUUAAUGUGCAACAUUUUAGCUCAUAUGAUUAGGAGUGUGGGGUCAUGGAGGUAGUACUAGGAACAAAGAUUAAAGGACUAAACAUGCUGAAUCAGUUGGGUUGGUUAAUUAGGACUUAUAAAUCAUACAUAUUUGUCUCUUUAUUUAUGUGAAUGCAAGAACCAAGGACAAGCUUGUAAAAGUGAUAGUCACAUAUCUUAAGAUGUUACCUUAAUUGAAGAGUGAUGGUACCAUCUCACAUUGGGGAAGCUUCCCAUUUGUAGUGGUUGUGUAUCUUGUUUGUGGCACCCUCCAUGGGUCAUCUCUUAUGAGCUAUGUCUUCCUUGUAUAAAUUGUUAAACUUCAUGUGUCUCUCUCUUCAUCUCUGAUGUGAGUUUAUCUCAGGACUUCCCAAAUUGAUAUUGAAAGUUUUUUCUGGAGGGGUUAGUCUGACAAAAUAUACCAAUGUCUACGCAAACAGUUUUUAGUUCAAUAACCGAAAUAGACUCCAUGUCUAAUCAGAUUAAGGAAGGUUGAUUAACCUAAGCACCAUGCUUAAUUUAAAAGCCAAUAGAAGUAUGUGCAGUACUUCCAAACUAACACUUACUAGGAUAAACAAAGGUAGCGUGAUGGCUUUUAUAGAGAUCUACUCAAGUGG
RNAcentral lists this long non-coding RNA (3483 nucleotides) under Sorghum bicolor (sorghum). RNAcentral describes it as "long non-coding RNA (SBIC_LNC014501)". The record is from RNAcentral. Lineage: Eukaryota; Viridiplantae; Streptophyta; Magnoliopsida; Poales; Poaceae.